GACGAACGCUGGCGGCGUGCCUAAUACAUGCAAGUCGAACGAACCGCGACUAGGUGCUUGCACUUGGUCAAGGUGAGUGGCGAACGGGUGAGUAACACGUGGGUAACCUACCUCAUAGUGGGGGAUAACAGUCGGAAACGACUGCUAAUACCGCAUAGGACAUAGGGUCACAUGAUUCUGUGAGGAAAGGUGGCGCAAGCUAUCGCUAAGAGAUGGACCCGCGGUGCAUUAGCUAGUUGGUAGGGUAAAGGCCUACCAAGGCGAUGAUGCAUAGCCGACCUGAGAGGGUGAUCGGCCACAUUGGGACUGAGACACGGCCCAAACUCCUACGGGAGGCAGCAGUAGGGAAUCUUCCGCAAUGGACGCAAGUCUGACGGAGCAACGCCGCGUGAGUGAAGAAGGUCUUCGGAUCGUAAAGCUCUGUUGUUAGAGAAGAACAGCGCAUAGAGUAACUGUUAUGCGUGUGACGGUAUCUAACCAGAAAGCCACGGCUAACUACGUG
This 502-nucleotide ribosomal RNA is filed under the name uncultured bacterium. Its description in RNAcentral is "partial 16S ribosomal RNA". It matches the Rfam family "Bacterial small subunit ribosomal RNA", at positions 28 to 507 of the family's 1533-position model. The record is from RNAcentral.